UCGGGAGUGGUGUAGUGGUUACAGUGUCGGGCUGGGCUUUGGGAGACACGGGUUCGAAUCCCGGCUCCGCUUCUGAG
This 77-nucleotide transfer RNA is filed under the name Sphaerodactylus townsendi. RNAcentral's name for it is "tRNA-Pro". Lineage: Eukaryota; Metazoa; Chordata; Lepidosauria; Squamata; Sphaerodactylidae. The record is from RNAcentral.